GCGUCGCCGAGUAUAUGAGCACAUGGUGUGGAUACCAUAACUCCAUCCCUCCCCACCCCCGCCCGACUUUUCCAACUUUGUCGUCUCUCCCCCUCUCCUUCGACAAAACGACCGAGCACUGAUUCCAACUGACGAACCAACCACCUUCUCCUCCUUCUUCUUCUUCACCUUCUUCACCUUCUUCUUCUUCAGUUCAUGGCCUGAACUGAGCCCUCCCCCUCGGCGCUUUCACCGAUGGACGCCCUCCCUCGCGCGGUCGAUCUCUGCAAAUUCCGGUCCCCGACCUCUCGCGCCGUCGUCGCGCCGCCGCGAAUCGUUGCUUCCCGGCCGCUGCUCCGCGUUUCCGGCGACCCCGGCUUCCCCGAUUCGUUGCUCCGAAUCCGAUUCUCGGGUGCUCCUCGCGAUUGGCGAUCUCGUCCCGUUGCCAAAGCUGGCGAUCACGACCACGGCCACGGCCAUCACCACCACCAUGACGACGACCACGAUCACGACCACCACGGCCACCACCACGGCCACGGCCACGGCCACCACCAUCACGGAGGCGACGCGAAGCCGGCUGGACCGCAGAGGGCGCUGGACGAGUUCGCCAGAGCAAUUGGAUGGGUGGACUUGGCGAAUUUGUUGAGGGAGAAUCUGCAGACGUGCUGUUGCUCGGUGGCUUUGUUUCUAGCCGCUGCUGCUUGCCCUUACCUGAUUCCGAAGCCGGUGGUGAAGCCGUUUCAGAACUCUUUGAUACUCCUCGCAUUUCCCCUCGUUGGAGUAUCGGCUUCCCUUGAUGCACUCACUGAUAUUGCGGCUGGAAGAGUAAACAUCCAUGUGUUGAUGGCUCUUGCGGGUUUUGCAUCAACGUUCAUGGGAAACCCCUUGGAAGGGGGCUUACUUCUGGCGAUGUUUAAUCUGGCUCAUAUUGCUGAGGAGUACUUCACCAGCCGUUCAAUGAUUGACGUGAGAGAGCUGAAGGAAAAUUAUCCUGAUUUUGCGCUUGUCUUGGAUGUGGAUGAUGAGGAAUCACCUAAGUUCUCUGAUUUAGCAUAUAGAAGUGUUCCCGUGCAAAAUGUGGCAGUCGGCUCCUAUAUCUUGGUUGGAGCUGGAGAGUCUGUGCCUGUAGAUUGUGAAGUUCUCCAGGGUAGUGCAACCAUAACCAUUGAGCACUUGACUGGAGAAGUCAAACCAUUAGAGGCUAAAUGUGGAGAUAGGAUUCCCAGCGGUGCAAGGAACUUGGAUGGUAGAAUAGUUGUAAAGGCAAUAAAGACCUGGAAAGAAUCAACACUGAGCAAAAUCGUACAGUUGACAGAAGAAGCACAACUCAAUAAGCCCAAGCUUCAAAGAUGGCUUGAUGAAUUUGGUGAGCAUUACAGCAAGGUGGUUGUAGUUCUAUCAAUUGCAGUUGCCAUUGUUGGCCCGCUCUUGUUCAAAUGGCCAUUGUUUAGCACCUCAGAUUGUCGAGGGUCAAUAUAUAGAGCAUUGGGCCUUUUGGUAGCAGCAUCGCCCUGUGCCUUAGCCGUAGCUCCGCUGGCCUAUGCUACUGCAAUUAGUUCCUGUGCAAGAAAGGGGAUAUUGCUGAAAGGUGGGCACGUCUUAGAUGCUCUAGCUUCUUGCCGCACUGUAGCAUUUGAUAAAACUGGGACAUUGACCACUGGCGGGCUAAUGUUCAAAGCAGUAGAACCAAUCUAUGGUCAUGGGAAAAGAGAAGACGAAUCAAAAAUUGUUUCUUGUUGCAAUCCAAGCUGUGAAGAAGAAGCUCUUGCUGUAGCAGCUGCAAUGGAGAAGGGUACCACACAUCCUAUUGGAAGAGCUGUCGUAGAUCAUUGUGUGGGGAAGGACCUUCCUUCCAUUUCUGUUGAGAGUUUUGAGUAUUUUCCUGGUAGAGGUCUUAUUGCCACUCUGAACAAUACGGAGGCAGGAAGUGGAGGUGGCAAAAGUUUGAAGGCAUCACUUGGUUCCAUCGACUUUAUAACUUCAUUUGUUAAAUCUGAAAAUGAAUCAAAGAAGAUAAAGGAGGCUGUUACUGCAUCUUCUUAUGGAAGGGAUUUAGUUCAUGCUGCUCUUAUUGUUAAUAAAAAGAUAACACUUAUUCAUCUCGAGGACAGACCUCGGCAAGGGGUUGCAGAAGUGAUUGCGGCAUUGAAAGAUGAAGCCAAUCUGCGUGUAAUAAUGUUGACUGGUGACCAUGAGUCAAGUGCAUGGAGAGUAGCAAAUUCUGUAGGUAUUGAUGAAGUUUAUUGUGGCCUGAAGCCUGAGGAUAAGCUUAAUUACAUAAGAAGCAUCUCAAGAGAUACAGGAGGAGGCCUUAUUAUGGUUGGUGAGGGUAUUAAUGAUGCACCUGCUCUUGCUGCUGCUACGGUGGGCAUCGUGCUUGCUCAACGUGCUAGUGCAACUGCUGUCGCUGUUGCUGACGUGCUGUUGCUGCGAGAUAACAUAUCGGGUGUUCCAUUCUCUAUUGCCAAGUCACGGCAUACAACGUCCCUGGUUAAGCAGAAUGUGGCUCUUGCUUUAUCUUGCAUAUUUUUGGCCUCCUUACCAUCUGUAUUGGGUUUUCUUCCCUUGUGGUUGACGGUCCUUUUGCAUGAAGGUGGUACCCUCCUCGUCUGUCUUAAUUCCAUUCGCGCCCUUAAUAAUCCUACUUGGUCAUGGAGGCAGGAUUUGUCGCACCUGCUUGGUGAACUGAAAGGAAGAUUUGAGACCUGGUUGAAAUCAAACCUCGACUCGACCAUAAUCCAGGCUACACAUUUGUGAAGUUCCUUUAACUAGCUAUCAUUUCCUUGCUCAUCAUCUCCUUGUGGAUUCGAACGUGAAGGAGCACUUGCAACAUCAAAGUGUAUAUCCUGUAAAAUUAGGGGAUCGGCAUAAUUAGCAGCUACCAGAGCUAGGAGCCCUGGAAGAACGAGGAAUUUGAAAGAGUUGUGCAUGGUCUGUGCAUAAAGAAAUUCAAAGAGAAGCGAACUCAUGUGUGGUGUUAUUCAAGCCCAUGGAGGAAUAAAGAGGAAUUAAAGAAGCUCAUUUUAUCCCUUUUGAUAAUCCGUGAAAAGGAUGUUGUGGCCGAUAUACUUUGCAGACAUCCCACACUGGCAGUGCCUCCCAUUAUUGGAGCUAGGAGUGUGAUUGUUCUUAAGUCAGUAGGAUCCAGACGCCGAACCUACCCUGUUCCCGGUUUUUGAAAAUUGGAUCUUACUAUUUGUCCAGGAACCUACCUUGCUUGUCCCAGUUUGGCUCCAGAGUCUAUCUGGAAACUGGUUUCUUUUUUUUU
Syzygium oleosum is the source of this 3247-nucleotide RNA transcript. It is a transcript of the gene named probable cadmium/zinc-transporting ATPase HMA1, chloroplastic, with no coding region annotated. The record is from RefSeq and is a predicted model, not a curated record. Lineage: Eukaryota; Viridiplantae; Streptophyta; Magnoliopsida; Myrtales; Myrtaceae. The transcript has 15 exons.